AAUAAAGUAAGCUAAUUAUAAGCUAGUGGGUUCAUACCCCAAAAAUGAACUAUUCCUUUAUUA
RNAcentral lists this transfer RNA (63 nucleotides) under Haemaphysalis montgomeryi. RNAcentral's name for it is "tRNA-Met". The record is from RNAcentral. Lineage: Eukaryota; Metazoa; Arthropoda; Arachnida; Ixodida; Ixodidae.